This is a long non-coding RNA of Musa acuminata AAA Group (dessert banana), 407 nucleotides long. RefSeq lists it as uncharacterized. The record is from RefSeq and is a predicted model, not a curated record. NCBI's taxonomy places the organism in Eukaryota, Viridiplantae, Streptophyta, Magnoliopsida, Zingiberales, Musaceae. The transcript is spliced from 2 exons.
UGAGGCAGCUGAGGAGGGAACUCGAUCGCCGUGUUGGAGUUUGUCCGAAUAAUAUGCUGCAGGUCUUGACAUCUGCCAUUGGAAGUUGGAAAGGAAGUCCUACCAUAGCCCAUUCAGGUCUGAUGUUUGCCGUUCCAAAUGACAAAAGUCGAGUAGAAGUUGAUUGCUAUCAAACUUCACUAGUCAGUUGAAAUUAUUGGUUUUGCGAGCCAUUUCUCUGAUCUAAACUCUCACUUUAUCUUGACGAGGCAUACCCACAUCAGCUUGACAAGACAUCACGACCUCAUAUUUCCUGACUAAGAUGUUUGCUACUGGAAGAUUCUAGAAAGAUUCAACUCACGUACUCGGAUGCACUUGAGUACUCCCCAUGUUCUUCGAAGUAUUCAAUUAGGCGCUUCAAGAAGUUG